GCGUUGAUGGUAUAACGGUAGCAUUGCUGCCUUCCAAGCAGUAGAUCUGGGUUCCAUUCCCGGUCGACGCA
RNAcentral lists this transfer RNA (71 nucleotides) under Paramuricea clavata. It matches the Rfam family "tRNA". Rfam says of the family: Transfer RNA (tRNA) molecules are approximately 80 nucleotides in length. Their secondary structure includes four short double-helical elements and three loops (D, anti-codon, and T loops). The record is from Rfam by way of RNAcentral. Lineage: Eukaryota; Metazoa; Cnidaria; Anthozoa; Malacalcyonacea; Plexauridae.